GUAGACGCGAAACCGUGUGAUCUACCCAUGGGCAGGUUGAAGCUUUGUUAACCCAAAGUGGAGGACCGAACCCGUUGACGUUGAAAAGUCUUGGGAUGACCUGUGGGUAGGGGUGAAAGGCCAAUCAAACUCGGAAAUAGCUCGUACUCCCCGAAAUGCAUUUAGGUGCAGCGUUUAACUAGUUUUAUAGAGGUAGAGCUACUGAUUGGAUGCGGGGGCUUCACCGCCUACCAAUUCCUGACAAACUCCGAAUGCUAUAAAAUGUUGUUGAGCAGUGAGGGCAUGGGUGCUAAGGUCCAUGUCCGAGAGGGAAAGAACCCAGAUCAUCAGCUAAGGUCCCCAAGUGUAUGCUAAGUUGACAAAACGCGGUAAAACUGCAUUGACAGCCAGGAUGUUGGCUUGGAAGCAGCCAUUCAUUUAAAGAGUGCGUAACAGCUCACUGGUCGAGCGGUUUUGCAUGGAUAAUAAUCGGGCAUAAGUAUACCACCGAAGCUAUGACUUUGUCUUAUGACAAGGGGUAGGGGAGCAUUCUAUGGGCAUUGAAGGUGCUGGCGUGAGCCGUGCUGGAGCGCAUAGAAACGAAAAUGUAGGCAUAAGUAACGAUAAUGCGGGCGAGAAACCCGCACGCCGAAAGACCAAGGUUUCCCCAGCUAUGCUAAUCAGCUGGGGGUCAGUCGGGACCUAACGCGAACCCGAACGGGGUAGUGGAUGGACAAUCAGUUAAUAUUCUGAUACCUGCUCACAUUAAAAGUGACGGGGAUGAGGCGUUGGUGCGAAGAGACGGAAUUCUUCGUUGAAGGUAGCGGAAGCUACUGAUAGUACACUGAGGCUUCGGCCAAGGUGAUAAUCCAGCUUAUCAUCCUCCAAGAAAAACAAGUGAAGCAGCCCGUACCGUAAACCGACACAGGUGGUUGGGAUGAGUAUUCUAAGGCGCUCGAGAGAUUCAUGGCUAAGGAACUAGGCAAAAUAGACCCGUAACUUCGGGAGAAGGGUCGCCCCCUUAUGGGGGGCCGCAGUGAAGAGGUCCAGGCGACUGUUUAUCAAAAACACAGGGCUCUGCUAAAUCGAAAGAUGACGUAUAGGGCCUGACACCUGCCCGGUGCUGGAAGGUUAAGAGGAGAUGUUAUUUUUCGGAAGAAGCAUUGAAUUGAAGCCCCAGUAAACGGCGGCCGUAACUAUAACGGUCCUAAGGUAGCGAAAUUCCUUGUCGGGUAAGUUCCGACCUGCACGAAUGGUGCAACGAUCUGGACACUGUCUCGGCCAUGAGCUCGGUGAAAUUGUAGUAACGGUGAAGAUGCCGUUUACCCGCAGUGGGACGAAAAGACCCCGUGCACCUUUACUAUAGCUUCGUAUUGACCCUGGAUAAGUAAUGUGUAGGAUAGCUAGGAGACUUUGAAGCGGCGUCGCCAGGCGUUGUGGAGUCAUUGUUGAAAUACUAGCCUUUGCUUAUUUGGGGCCUAACUCUCGAGAGAGAGAACAGUGCGUGGUGGGUAGUUUGACUGGGGUGGUCGCCUCCAAAAGAGUAACGGAGGCUUCUAAAGGUGCCCUCAAUACGGUUGGUAAUCGUGUGUAGAGUGCAAUGGCACAAGGGC
Molecule: ribosomal RNA, 1592 nt
Filed under: Methylophilales bacterium BACL14 MAG-120920-bin58
Lineage: Bacteria; Pseudomonadati; Pseudomonadota; Betaproteobacteria; Nitrosomonadales
Description: bacterial LSU rRNA
Rfam family: Bacterial large subunit ribosomal RNA
Source: RNAcentral